CUCCAUUCCGUGCUGCCUUCCUCUUUUAGGGAGAGCUUGUUUCAGAUGAUUUGGUUGUGGGCAUUAUUGAUGAAGCUAUGAAGAAACCCUCAUGCCAGAAAGGUUUCAUUCUUGAUGGCUUUCCUAGAAUUGUGACUCAAGCACAGAAGCUUGAUGAGAUGUUGGCAAAGCAAGGUGCCAAUGUUGACAAAGUCCUGAACUUUGCAAUUGAUGAUGUUGUAUUGGAAGAACGGAUUACUGGUCGUUGGAUCCACUCAGCCAGUGGUAGGACUUACCACUCAAAAUUUGCACCUCCAAAGUCUCCAGGAGUUGAUGAUGUAAGUCGAGUACAGAACAUUUAAUUAAGCUGCUUAUUUUUAUGUUUCCACGAUCUUAUUUAUAUGAUUACUAUUUUCUUCUAGACUUAGUGUGGAUCGACUCACUAUUUUAGUGUGUAAGUUGUUCAAGUUUCCCAAUCAGCUUCUUGUGGCAUAAGUUUUUGAACCAGUUAAUGACAUCUUGACAUUUA
RNA transcript from Zea mays, 508 nucleotides. RefSeq lists it as uncharacterized. The transcript has 2 exons. NCBI's taxonomy places the organism in Eukaryota, Viridiplantae, Streptophyta, Magnoliopsida, Poales, Poaceae. The record is from RefSeq and is a predicted model, not a curated record.